AGGGCACCACCAGGAGUGGAGCCUGCGGCUUAAUUUGACUCAACACGGGAAAACUCACCCGGCCCGGACACUGGAAGGAUUGACAGAUUGAGAGCUCUUUCUUGAUUCAGUGGGUGGUGGUGCAUGGCCGUUCUUAGUUGGUGGAGUGAUUUGUCUGGUUAAUUCCGAUAACGAACGAGACUCUAGCCUACUAAAUAGAUCGYCGGCUUACAAACGCCGGCGAGACUUCUUAGAGGGACAGGCGGUGAUUCAACCGCACGAAACRGAGCAAUAACAGGUCUGUGAUGCCCUUAGAUGUCCGGGGCCGCACGCGCGCUACACUGAAGUGAUCAGCGUGCUUUUUCAACCUACUCUGUCAAGAGUGGGGAACCCAAUGAACCUUCUUCGUGAUUGGGAUAGGGGAUUGUAAUUGUUCCCCUUGAACGAGGAAUUCCCAGUAAGCGCGAGUCAUAAGCUCGCGUUGAUUACGUCCCUGCCCUUUGUACACACCGCCCGUCGCUACUACCGAUUGAAUGUUUU
Molecule: ribosomal RNA, 519 nt
Filed under: uncultured eukaryote
Lineage: Eukaryota
Description: SSU rRNA
Rfam family: Eukaryotic small subunit ribosomal RNA
Source: RNAcentral